CCACAGACAUCCUCUGCUGAAAGCGGGGUGCUGCUGCCUCCAAGGCUGAAGCACAAGUCAUUGACAGGGACCCAGGUGGCCCAGUAGCAGUCCUGCCAUGCAUUUACAAGCACUCUGAGGACAGACUACCCUACUUGUAGUUAGCAAUUGGGCUGAAGCGAGCGCGCCCUAGCUGCCUAUUUAUGGCAGCUGCCACUGAAAGCAAGCCCGCCCCCGCCCCUCCCCUUCCCCUGCUCCCGCCCCCGCCCCUCCCCCUCCCCUGCUCCCGCCCCCGCCCCCGCCCCCAGUAGAAGGGCUGCCCUAUGGCUGCUGCCUCCCACAACCAAAUCAUUUUUCUGGGAACCUGGGGAUCAUCUUGGCUCUGCCUAUCACAGCCAGUGCCUGCACGCCCUGCUCCGGCAUCCCCCUAGUGCCUGAGCACGCCAUCCUCCUGUACCCUACUCCAUUACGAUGUGAUUCCUUCGUGUUAAAACUGUGUACCUUGCCCUACUAACUUUGGAUCUGGCCAAUGGAAUAUAAGGAGAUUUGACCUGUGCUGCUGUGAUUAACAGACAUCAGAGGCAUGAAAAACAACAGUAACUAGAUGAAGCAAGGACCACCCUUCUGGACAACAAAGGGAGAGGAAUGAAAGUCUGACCUAGGAAAAGACGGAGUCUCGCUGUGUUGUCCAGGAUGGAGUGCAGUGGUGCUUUCUCAGCUCACUGCAACCUCUGCCUCCCAGUUCAAGCAAUUCUUCUGACUCAGCCUCCUGAGUAGCUGGGAUUACAGGCACCUGCUACCACACCAUGCUAAUUUUUGUAUUUUUAGUAGAGACGGGGUUUCUCCAUGUUGGCCUGGCUGGUCUCGAACUCCUGACCUCAGGUGAUCCACCUGCCUCGGCCUCUCAAAAUGCUAGGAUUACAGGUGUGAGCCACCACACCUGGCCAACUUAUCCUUUUUUUAACAUCUAGUUUUCUGUGAGUGUUUUCUAAUGUGCACUGUAGACGGACAUAGUGGUAUGUGAUUACUAUUCAUAGAUAAAUAAUAAUUUGUUUAUUAUUGUGUAAUAAACAUUGUGUGAUAAAGAAUUUGGCUGACCUUUGUUUCUGGUUCUUGAGAGGUAAUCUUUCAACCCAUGGAGUUUCCCAAGUGAUUGGAGUGUCUUUGUUCUUCAAGGUGGGCCCCAUAGAGCAUAUUUGAUGGUUUAUGCUAAUGUGAUGACUCAGGAUGGAAGCCGGCCAUGUUAGGAAGACCAAAGACAUGAUGAGAUGGUUGGGACUUUGAGCCAGGUGGCAUCA
This 1277-nucleotide long non-coding RNA is filed under the name Homo sapiens (human). RNAcentral describes it as "HSALNT0088332". Lineage: Eukaryota; Metazoa; Chordata; Mammalia; Primates; Hominidae. The record is from RNAcentral.